This 349-nucleotide ribosomal RNA is filed under the name uncultured Methanosaeta sp. Its description in RNAcentral is "bacterial SSU rRNA". It matches the Rfam family "Archaeal small subunit ribosomal RNA", at positions 991 to 1338 of the family's 1478-position model. The record is from RNAcentral. Lineage: Archaea; Methanobacteriati; Methanobacteriota; Methanomicrobia; Methanotrichales; Methanotrichaceae.
UGCGAUGGCCGUCGUCAGUUCGUACUGUGAAGCAUCCUGUUAAGUCAGGCAACGAGCGAGACCCACGUCCACAGUUGCCAGCAUACCCUCCGGGGUGAUGGGUACACUGUGGAGACCGCCGCUGCUAAAGCGGAGGAAGGAAUGGGCAACGGUAGGUCAGUAUGCCCCGAAUCUCCCGGGCUACACGCGGGCUACAAUGGUUGGUACAAUGGGCAUCUACCCCGAAAGGGGAAGGAAAUCUCUUAAAGCCAAUCGUAGUUCGGAUUGAGGGCUGCAACUCGCCCUCAUGAAGCUGGAAUCCGUAGUAAUCGCGUUUCAACAGAACGCGGUGAAUACGUCCCUGCUCCUU